Molecule: transfer RNA, 84 nt
Filed under: Defluviitaleaceae bacterium
Lineage: Bacteria; Bacillati; Bacillota; Clostridia; Lachnospirales; Defluviitaleaceae
Also listed under: 1 other name
Description: tRNA-Leu
Rfam family: tRNA
About the family: Transfer RNA (tRNA) molecules are approximately 80 nucleotides in length. Their secondary structure includes four short double-helical elements and three loops (D, anti-codon, and T loops).
Source: RNAcentral
GCGGAUGUGGCGGAAUUGGCAGACGCAGCAGACUCAAAAUCUGCCGGUGGCGACAUCGUGGGGGUUCGAGUCCCUUCAUCCGCA